This 476-nucleotide ribosomal RNA is filed under the name Cales sp. D2958. Its description in RNAcentral is "eukaryotic LSU rRNA". The record is from RNAcentral. Lineage: Eukaryota; Metazoa; Arthropoda; Insecta; Hymenoptera; Calesidae.
UUCAGGGGUAAACCUGAGAAACCCAAAAGAUCGAAUGGGGAGAUUCAUCCUUUGCGACGUUGGCUUCCGUGUGUCACGCGAUGCUCGGGACUUGUCCUGUGGCACGUUGGCACUGCGGUUUGUCCGGCGGCGCGGUGGUGCACUUCUCCCCUAGUAGGACGUCGCGACCCGUUGGGUGUCGGUCUACGGCCCGUGAAGUCGACUGUCGCGUCACGUUCUGCGUGCACGCGCCAGACUCGCGGUCGCCCGACCGGCUGCCCGGCGGUAUCGAAAGCUAACUUAAACUGGUAUAGAGCCGCAUUAAAUGCGUCCGACUCGUCGGCCGGCUCGUCUCGCUCGGAUUUACGGACUUUGUGCCGUUGUCGGGCGCUUGAUGGGCUUUCAGGUCGUGCGAUGUACUUGGACUGGCUCGUCACAUUCGCAAGGAUGUACCGGUCAGCGACGCUACUGCUUUGGGUACUUUCAGGACCCGUCUU